CAAUAACAUUAACACAAGCAAUUCACCAAACACCUAACGUCCACUUUUCAUAACCAUGGCAACAACGUCCCGGAAGCUAGAAAUCAGAGUCAUAUCCGCCGAGAACUUGCAAUUAGAUCGAAAACCCAUCAAGAAAAACGCCUCUGCGACUGUCCGGGCCGAAAAGGACAGCCAGUUUCGCACCACGUACAUAGACACCGAAGGCGGCGCCUACCCCAAAUGGAACGAGAAGCUUGUGCUCGACUUGCCAUUGCAUGCGAGGUCCUUCACGGUGGAGAUUCAAUGCAAGACUUCUUACGGAGUCAGGACGAUUGGAACGGCAAAGAUUCCGGUGUCGGAUUUCGUGGGCGGGUUUGUGCCUGAGGGCUACCUGCAUUUUUUGAGUUACAGACUGAGAGAUAACAGGGGAGAGAGAAACGGGAUUGUUAAUAUUUCGGUGAGGAUGCAGGUGCCAGAGUUGAAAGCAUGUGCUACGACGUCGUCUCAUUCGAGCAUGGGAUUUCAGGUGGCAGAUAGCAGCUUUGGCGGCGGUGGCGUGGCGACUGGAGUUCCCGUUUGGUACGGGGCGUAUCAGAAAAAUUAUUGAAGAAAAAGGGUUUGACUAGUUGGUUUAUUAGUCACAAAUCACCAAAAAAUUUGUGCGUAAAUAUUGGAGUAAACUUUGUCGAACAACUUCCAAUGUUCAUGAAAAUUUCUGCAACAAUUUAAUUCAUUGUUCCAACUUACAUUCCCUGAUUUUUUUAUGUUAUUCAUGCGCUUAAACAAUCUUUGCAUCCUCUUUUGAAUGACAUCCACACUAAUUUUUGCAUUGUCAAUCAAUUGGCAUUCAUAUUUCCAG
RNAcentral lists this long non-coding RNA (838 nucleotides) under Prunus dulcis (almond). RNAcentral describes it as "sRNA ncRNA". The record is from RNAcentral. Lineage: Eukaryota; Viridiplantae; Streptophyta; Magnoliopsida; Rosales; Rosaceae.